GACGAACGCUGGCGGCGUGCUUAACACAUGCAAGUCGAACGGAAAGGCCCUGCUUUUGUGGGGUGCUCGAGUGGCGAACGGGUGAGUAACACGUGAGUAACCUGCCCUUGACUUUGGGAUAACUUCAGGAAACUGGGGCUAAUACCGGAUAGGAGCUCCUGCUGCAUGGUGGGGGUUGGAAAGUUUCGGCGGUUGGGGAUGGACUCGCGGCUUAUCAGCUUGUUGGUGGGGUAGUGGCUUACCAAGGCUUUGACGGGUAGCCGGCCUGAGAGGGUGACCGGCCACAUUGGGACUGAGAUACGGCCCAGACUCCUACGGGAGGCAGCAGUGGGGAAUAUUGCACAAUGGGCGGAAGCGUGAUGCAGCAACGCCGCGUGCGGGAUGACGGCCUUCGGGUUGUAAACCGAUUUCGCCUGUGACGAAGCGUGAGUGACGGUAAUGGGUAAAGAAGCACCGGCUAACUACGU
RNAcentral lists this ribosomal RNA (467 nucleotides) under uncultured bacterium. RNAcentral's name for it is "partial 16S ribosomal RNA". It matches the Rfam family "Bacterial small subunit ribosomal RNA", at positions 28 to 506 of the family's 1533-position model. The record is from RNAcentral.